Molecule: ribosomal RNA, 250 nt
Filed under: uncultured bacterium
Lineage: Bacteria
Description: partial 16S ribosomal RNA
Rfam family: Bacterial small subunit ribosomal RNA
Source: RNAcentral
UACGGGAGGGGCAGGCGUUAUUCGUCAUGACUGGGCGUAAAGGGUGUGUAGGUGGUCUUUUAAGUUUAAAGUAAAAUGUUAAUUUUUAAAAAUGACUUUUUAUACUGAUUGACUAAGAGUUUAGGGGAGGAAAAUGGUACUCACAGUGUAGAGGUGAAAUUCGGUGAUAUUGACGGGGACCAACGAUGGCGAAGGCAAUUUUCUAUUCUAAUACUGACGCUGAGACACUACAGCAUGGGGAUCAAACAGG